Manduca sexta (tobacco hornworm) is the source of this 267-nucleotide long non-coding RNA. RefSeq lists it as uncharacterized. NCBI's taxonomy places the organism in Eukaryota, Metazoa, Arthropoda, Insecta, Lepidoptera, Sphingidae. The transcript is spliced from 2 exons. The record is from RefSeq and is a predicted model, not a curated record.
GUGAAUUUUGGAAUAUGUCUGUGUUGGAAAUGUUAAUAUUAUUGUCCCUGAUGGCUCUCGUGCAGUGUGCCCCACCGGAGGAAUGUGAUAGGAACAACCCAUUCUCGUCUGUACUUGGAUUUCCACUGCAGUUCCCCAUGAAUAUGUUGAACGGUGUCAUGAAGAAUCAAUAAAGAUAUAAAUUAAUUUUUCCAAUCGGCUUUGUAAUUUAUGCAGGUUCAUUUUGACGUGUUAAUAAAUGAAAUUAUAUUUGUCCAUAAAACAAUA